AGGGAGCCCACGAACACCACUGGUUGCAGGCUGCACAGGAGAUUGGUCUGGCGUCCCAGGAAACUUUCUCAAUUAUCAGCACCUCGCGUAAUGGUUUCUUCCGGGAGCCUUGGAAGUUCCAUUCGUAUCGGAACCCAGAAGCCCUGUGACUACUCACACUGGACAUCUAACUCAGCUUCCCCGCCAACUUGUCCAGUACCAAGGCUGUUUUCGGCCAAGCAGGAAUAAUACCCAGCGUGCCCGAGGAGGACCGCUGGGAUCUGGAAGGUCUUGCUUGUCCUUCCGGGUACUUGUUUCUUAUCGUGAUACCAGGUGUAAUUUGUUGGAGGAGGAUUGGCCGGUGACACGCAAGUCAUCUGUACUUUAUUUCCCUCCUUAGCUGGUGAGGGGAGGAUCUCAACCCUGGAAGAUUCCGGAGCAUCUGGAAAAAGCCCGCAGAGGCAGAGGGAGCUCCCAGGAGGCUCACAAUAUACUUGAAGGUCCACUUCUUCCGACUGUCCUGAGCCUAUUAUAUUGGAGGCCUCACACUGGUACUUCCCACUCAUCUCCUUGGUCACAGUGGACAGAGUCAGCGUGCCUGGCACCCUUGGUGCCCUCGAGGGCUGGAAGAGAAGAGACAAGGCCCUCGUCCUUCCCCGGGGGGCCCUGGGGGACACUCACGCUUCACAUCCAGCCCCACGCUUUCCUCGGAGAGUAUCCGCUCUGCUCGGGGGUCCCAGAGCUGGCAGGAAAGAUUCUUGCCGUGGUGAGUCCACUGCGGCUGGAAGGUGAGCUUGCUCUGUGUGGACACGGUCUUGGUGGUCAGGAGGGUGGAGGUGACAGCAGGCUCCUCCAGGGACCACUUCAGCUGGAUCUGGUACCCAGGACAGGAGAAAUUCAGCGAGCAGGUCAGAGUGACUUCCUGGGACUCCUGGAUUUCUGGAGGGAGCUGGAUGUGAGGUGAGAGAGGCGUCUCUGCAAAAGAGGAGGGGGCCGUGCUGGGGGCCUGGGAGAGCGAGGGCCCGUGUGCCAACCUCGCACACCUGCCUUUACCCACCCCCAGCCCCAGGUAACCCCUCAGGAGCCCCUCGCCGGUCCCUUCCGCCUCUGCACCUCUCUCCCGGCCGCCUUUCUCUGCUUUGAAUCACUUUUGCUCGGCGGAAGCACUCUCUCUUGUGAAUGCCGCCGCUCCUGAGGAAUCCCGUAUUCUAUUUCAUACGUACCUCGUGCCCCCGCCCUGAUGUUUGCUCUCUAAACAUUUUUGACACGGCUCCCCCAUCCCAAAUGAAUUUUACCGGUUUAGGUCCCCACGCCUUUCUUGGCUUUGCUGACAAGCCUGCGUUUGUAAUGACCUCCACACUGGAGACCUCCAGUGUGGCGCUCCUUCAGUGGGUGCCGUUAGUGGGCCUGUGUGUCUCCGGCUCUCCCCGGGGCUGGGCCGCCCUGAGACGACAGGUCUGAAACCACAGCUCUCACCCCCGUGUAGCUGCUUAGACGCCCCCCCCCCCACCUCCCCCACCACCACGGAAGACACAGGCUGUGGGGUGGAGGCCCCGGGCCCGUGCUUGAUUCAUCCCCUACAUGUGUCUCAUUUGGCCAUGAAGGCCUAAUUAGAAUUAAUCACCAACAUUAAGGCAUUGGGAGAUUUUGCUUGAAAGUCCACAUUUCCAUCUUCUCGUCAAAAAUCAGGCCACCUGGAACCCGGAUUCCGGAAUGGGUGGGCGUUGAGUGGCAGGUGGGAGGCCCGAGGGGAGACCAGAGGUCUGGCCUCAGCCCCAGCCCCAUUAUCUUGUGCUGCCCGCUCACUCACUGGCACCUCCGGCCUGGCUUGCCACCCCUGUCCCAGGGGCUGGGUGUUUUCCACCUCCCUUCUUGCCCAAAACCGAGGCAGAGAACCCCAUCCCCCAGGGCCUUACCAGAGACGUUGAGGUCUAUUUUCUCCAUCCAUUUGUCAUUCUUCGUUGUCACUCUCAGCCCAAGCCAGCCACUGUCAUUGACGGACACAGGGUGGAUGUGUAUGGUGCAGUUGGACUUUUUGUCUCCCAGGAAUUGAACCCUCUCCCGGUGAGGCAGAGUCUUCCCAGCCUUCGCGGUAUCGUACAGGAUGGUCCCACUGAAGUCCUUGCGGGUCUCGUCAUAGUGAUAGUUGUGGUACAGGGUCAGGUUUUCCAGCAUUUGUCUACUCCCUGGAACUUUGUAGUCACAGGGAAUCCAGACGCAGGCCCCAUCCCAGGUGUAGAGGGUGUGGGGGUGCUCAAACUUCCAUUGAGAUGAGUCAGAGAAGGCCAAGUAUUCUGGAACCCACCACAGUGAUCAAAAAACAUUAUUGAGGGGCAUAAAGAGCUUUCAAAUGAAUAAAGAAUCCCCUCUAAAGACAGAGGGAGAGAGGAAGGUACACACACACAUACCCUGCCUGUCCCCUCCUCCCCAAUACUUACUCUUUGCUCCAGAGCUUUCCUCCUCCUCUAGCUCCCACAGACUCCCAGAACCCAAGCCUAGGCCACAGUCCUUACCAAGGAGCAGGAACGAGGGGCCGAGGAGAUGCAUGGUGCUGUGUCUGGGCAGGAGCCUGGGCCGGGAAGAGUUGUCUUUGAGCCAUCUGGUCACUUGCUUCUUUCAGAUGGCUUUUCUUGCUCACCCACCAAACUCCAACCCCUCUUCCCUGAUCCCAGGAGAACCAUGCCUGCUUGCCUUGCAGGAUGUGAAUUCUGGAUGUUCAUGGGGCCUUUUGUGGGUAUGUCGUGUCUAUUCUCUCAGCCUAAGAACUCUGUAAGACUAGCCUGUCUCUCUUUCUAGCCCUCCUUCCUUUCUUCCAUCCAUCCUUCCAUCCAUCCUUCUAUCCAUCCAUCCAUCCAUCCAUCCGUUCAUCCUUCUAUCCAUCCAUCCAUCCAUCCAUCCAUCCAUCCAUCCAUCCAUAAUUUUACAAACUUCCUGCCCAGCUCUCAGGCUUUGAGUGGCAUCAGACUCCUGAGUGCCUUGAAUUCCAGGCCUGGGGUAACUUGAAGCUCACCUUGAGGCAACUAGUGAAGGUUCUUAUAUGGGGGAGAGCCAUGAUCAAAACUUGAUUUUUAAAGACCAGGAGCAAAAUAACUCUAAAACUAACAAGUGUGAUGCCAGGAGAGCAUUUAGAGGGGUCUGGAAGGACUUCGGAGAAUGUGGUCCAAGGGUCCCACUCAGAUACCCCUGGGGGCUGGGUGGAAAACAUAAAUCAACCAGGUGGGAACAAAGGUCAUGGCUUGGGUAAAGACAAUGACUGUCCCGGUCCCAACCAAUUGUUGCCAAGUGGGAAUGUGAGCUCAGCACUGCCUGAUCUUCCAGUGCUUUAAGAGAAAUAAGCUGGAUUUUCCUGUGAAAUGUCCUGCUUUCAUCAACAAACAAACAAACAAACAAACAAGCAAACACGGUGCUGGCCAGUCCGCGGGCUGAAGGCAGUCCAAGGGCCCCCAGUUUGCAGCCCUGCGCAUCUGUCCCUCUCUGAUCAGUGAGUUUGUGUGCCACCUUAUUAGACUUUUACAUAGAGUUACAUUUACAUAGAGUUAAAUUUAAGCCCCAAUUUGCAUGACUGGGCCCCUCCGUGCCGGUCCCUCUGGAGUUAGCAGGAUGUGUGACAGAGUGUGUCUCCGGUGUCAGGGCAGACCUGCACCCCUCCCACCUGCCCUGCCAACAUUUCCCACGCAUCAAACACCCCUCACCCCCUGGGGCUGUUUAUCUCCUCAGGCUGCAUGGCUCCUGCCAAAUGCUGUUGGGUGGCUGGUACCCGGAGGUGUGGGGGAAGCUAGGCUGCUUGCUGAGCAGGAAGGAGGGGUCUGUCCCCAGGCGUAGUGUCUGUGCUGGCCUGGCCGGGUCUCAGGCUCGGGUUAAGGGUGAGGGGUCUGAACUGGGACAGACUCUCCAGGUAGAAGUGACACCGGCUCUGCAGGUGCUAACAGAGCUACACGCAAAAACACCUUCAAGGCCACGUCCACUUGAGAAAAGCUGGGUGAAGAAGGUAAACAGAAUUCUUUACCGUGGCUCUUUCUGGUCCCUUAUAAUCAGCUGUGUGUGCAUCACACAUCUGCCGACACGGGGGCCAGAGCACAGUACAGUGCAGUACGUUGCCCACGCUUCUUUAGCCAUGGAACUGAUUUUACGUUUCCCGCGAGAAACUCGGCAGGGCUGCAGGGUCAGCGUUUUGAGGGAUGCGCUCCGGGUCCCCUUUGGGUUUCCACAAGAGCUGUGGCAAGGGCUAGAUUCCAUUCUCUGGGGCAAAGACCAGCCUCCAGUAGCCGGACCGUUGUGCCCCUUCUGCCGCCAGCCGCCAGCCGCACCUUCAUGGGGGAAUGCCUUGAGAACACCAGGAUGAGGGGGAGAGGGCACUUCUCAGAGCAGAGCUACGUGCUCGCCCCCGGCAGCUCCAGGCAGUCGCUGGGACAUAAGAAGUGGGACCUUAGACCUGGAAGCGGAAGGCUGCUGAGACAGGGUGGGGCGUGGAGGCUGGGGACAAUAGGCAUUAGGCACAAAGGCUCAGGACAAGGCCAUGCUACCCAGACCCAUGGUGGCCUGCUCGACAUAGGCCUGCUGAGGACCUUGCAGGAUCUCAGAGCCCGCCUCCCUGAGUCCAUUCUUCCCUCCUGGGCAUCUGGUGACCCAUCCUAUUCUCAGAAGACUCCACAAGCCCAUCAGAGGGCAUGCUCAAAGAUGGGGGUCUACAUCCUGUUGAUACAUGGGUAAGGGGGGGGUCCCGCUGUGCUCCCAGCCCCAAGAACUGUGCUUGGCACACAGCAGCUGCUCCGUGCCGGCAUGCUGAAUGCAAAAGAGAGCAAAAUAAUUUUUACCUGUUUCCUCGUGUCUUCCCUCUUCAGGGACCUUGGCAGCAUCUGAGAGUGAAAGGGGAAGCACAGCGAAGGAUUUUCACCCUCCUUGGCCCCACCCCCUGCCCCUGUGUGACUCUCGGGGCAACCAAGAGGCAUGGUGAAGUGGGGAGGGGGGAAAAGAGGCCAUGAGGGCAACUUGGGCUCGGAAUCAGCUUGAAAGGAACACUCGAGUACCUACGGUCAGUUUUUAGGUUCGGUGUAUGGAGUUUCUACAUCAGAUAGUUUCAGAGCUAGUCCCUCCACAACUUCCUCUCUAUCCAGCUCUCAGGAAAUGCUGAUAAUUUAGGCCAAGCAGAUUAGAACCGCCAGCCUGCUGAAAAAGGCACAAGGCAAUAUGAAAGCGUUGGUAGUUUAGUGACACCAUCCAGUUAUUCUCAUUCCUAUUACUUUCUCUCCAAAGGCCAGAAUGGUCGGGAAAUCUGAUCACUUACACUGAGGCUCCAGCAGCUCCCGAGGGUUGAGGGAAGAGCUCACAGUAUCAAAAGGAAAAAAGAUAACUUUCAUGGAGUGUUCUUGAAUGGGCAAGUCUUGAGACUAGAAACUUACCACUUUCAUCAGGCUUCUGUGAGUGUCUGGAGACCAGACCCAGACAUCAGGCAAAGCCAUUCAAAUCCUGCAGAUGGUCAGGGAAGUCUCUGAGAAAUCUUCACCCUGGUAUCAUCAAACUCUACUGACUACCAGCCACUGAGAAAGGAACAGAAAAGGGGAGGGGCUUCUGGGUGGCUCAGUCGGUUAAGCAUCUGACUUUGGCUCAGGUCAUGAUCUCAUGGUUCAUGAAUUUGAGCCCCGCAUUGGGCUCUGUGCUGACAGCUCAGAGCCUGGAGCCUGCUUUGGAUUCUGUCUCCCUCUCUCUCCCCAAAAUAAAUAAACAUUUAAAAAACAAACAAAAAAAGAAACAGAAAAGGAACAACUUAUUCAAAAGACAGUAAUGUUAUGGGAAGGUAUAUUCUUCCCUAUUUCUUCUGCUAAGAACAAUUAAAAACUCUGGAUCUUAUAAAAUAAGCAUAAGAAGACACUGAAAGAUUGAGAGAAGGCACACUGGUUAGGGACCUUGGGACCUGAGGAAUGAUAUGACCAUGAAUUCUCUGGGUUUUCUCUUCGCUUCAUCUAUCCCAGACUGAAUACUGAAGAAGCAAGCAACUGGAAAUGACAAUGAGCACAGACAAAAAAAAAAAAAAAAAAAAGUUCCAGCAAAACUCUGCUCUUCUAGCUAAAGAAGCAAGAAAGGGGCAGCCCAGAAAGACAGAAAUCUUUCAUGCAGUAACUGCUCUACUCCAGCGAAAUGUCACAGAAAAACCUGCUGCUUCACUUCUACCCCUGACAGCAAAGGCUGAGUGGGACCCUAGACUUUCACCCUUGCCAGGCCACGCCCCCAUACCACAUCUGAGUGGUGCCAGAGGAGGCUGAGUGUGGGGCUGGGCCCUCCAGCCCCUCUGGGCUCUUUCUCCCCACAGUGUCAGUAGAAACCACAUGGGCAGCCUGAACAUCCAACCCCACCCUGUGAUGAGACAUCAUACUCCUCACUGGAGUGGUGUAAGAGGAGGUCUAGGGGAGAAUCAGGACUUUCACCAUCACUCAGUGAUCAUAAGCCCAACUUCUGUGGAAUCUGCAUGAAAGCCAUGUGGAGAGCAAUAAUGAUGUACCCCCUCCCUCUUCCAGUCAAGAUGGUAUUAAUGGGUGCAUAAUGGGGAACCUGAUCUUUCACCCCUGCCCAGCAAUGAGAAAACUUCACACACACACACACACACACACACACACACACACACACACACCAGCUGUCAAGAGAGGCUGAGUGGAGAACCUGAACUUCUACCCCCAUUUGGUAAUAAUGAGGCAGUGCCCCUGUUCAUUUCACUGGAACAGUGUCAGGGGAAGCUUGCUAAAACACUGAUUUAAAUAAGAUCCAGUCCCAUAAAUAAUACCCAAAAUGUCCUCGUUUCAUUUGAAAAUCACUCAGCCUACUAAGAACCAGGAAGUUCUCAAACUGAAUGCAAAAAGAUAAUCAACAGACACAAACACCAAGAUGACACAGAUGUUGGAAUUAUCUAACAAGGAUUUUAAAACAGCCAUCAUAAAAAUGCUUCAGUGAGCAAUUACAAACAUGUUUGAAACCUAUUGAAAAAAAUAGAGUGUCAGCAAAGAAAUAAUAAAGAAUCAAAAGGAAAUUUUAGAACUAAAAAAUACAAUAACUGAAAUUAAAAGCCCUAAUGAAUGAGCUCAACAUCAGAAUGGAACAUGGAACAUUAGAAAUUACCCAAUUUGAAAAACAGAUAGAACAAACUGAAGGAAAAAAAAAGAAGAACAGAGCCUCAAGGACAUGUGUGGCUAGUAUAACAAAAGAUCUAACAUUCAUGUCAUUGUAGUCUCAGGAGAGGAGAAAGAGGGUGAGCCUGAGAAAAUAUUUGAAGAAAUAAUGGCUGAAAUGUUCCUAAUUUGACAAAACAAACAAAAACCAUAUUAUCUACAGAUUCAGGAAGCUGAGUGAAUCCCAAACAAGAUUAACCCAAAGAAAUCCAUGUCAAGACACAUACUAGUCAAACUUAUGAAAAUUAGACAAAGAAAAAAUCUUGAAAGCAACCACAGAGAAAUGAUGCAUUACCUACAGGGAGAAAACCCAUUCAAAUGACAGUAGAUUUUGUAUCAAAAAGGUGAUAAGGUGAUAAGAAAGGUGUUAUGAAAGUGAAACAGCAUCUCUUAGAUACUGAAAGAAAAGAACUAUCAACCCAGAAAUGUAUAUCUAUCCUUCAGGAAUGAAGGGGAAAUCAAGACAUUCUCAGAUGAAGGAAAACUAACAAUUUUUAACCAACAGAUACCCUAGAAGAGUGGCUAUAAGGGAAUCUUCUAAACAGAAAGAAAAUUAUUUAAACAUUUUUUUAAUUUUUUUUUUUUUGAGAGAGAGAGAGAGAGAGAUAGAGAGAGAGAGAGAGAGAGACAGAGCGCGA
This is a long non-coding RNA of Felis catus (domestic cat), 7774 nucleotides long. RefSeq lists it as uncharacterized. The record is from RefSeq and is a predicted model, not a curated record. NCBI's taxonomy places the organism in Eukaryota, Metazoa, Chordata, Mammalia, Carnivora, Felidae. The transcript has 5 exons.